CAGUAGCCGCGGGAAAACGUAGGUGGCAAGCGUUGUCCGGAAUUAUUGGGCGUAAAGGGCUCGCAGGCGGUUUCUUAAGUCUGAUGUGAAGGCCCCCGGCUCAACCGGGGAGGGUCAUUGGAAACUGGGAAACUUGAGUGCAGAAGAGGAGAGUGGAAUUCCACGUGUAGCGGUGAAAUGCGUAGAGAUGUGGAGGAACACCAGUGGCGAAGGCGACUCUCUGGUCUGUAACUGACGCUGAGGAGCGAAAGCGUGGGGAGCGAACAGGAUUAGAUACCCGUGUAGUCCCUGUCUCUUAUAA
Molecule: ribosomal RNA, 301 nt
Filed under: uncultured bacterium
Lineage: Bacteria
Description: partial 16S ribosomal RNA
Rfam family: Bacterial small subunit ribosomal RNA
Source: RNAcentral